UACGUAGGGUGCGAGCGUUGUCCGGAAUCAUUGGGCGUAAAGCGCGUGUAGGCGGCCCGGUAAGUCCGCUGUGAAAGUCGGGGGCUCAACCCUCGAAAGCCGGUGGAUACUGUCGGGCUCGAGUGCGGAAGAGGCGAGUGGAAUUCCUGGUGUAGCGGUGAAAUGCGCAGAUAUCAGGAGGAACACCGAUUGCGAAGGCAGCUCGCUGGGACGUUACUGACGCUGAGACGCGAAAGCGUGGGGAGCAAACAGG
This 253-nucleotide ribosomal RNA is filed under the name uncultured bacterium. RNAcentral's name for it is "partial 16S ribosomal RNA". It matches the Rfam family "Bacterial small subunit ribosomal RNA", at positions 524 to 776 of the family's 1533-position model. The record is from RNAcentral.